GAUGAACGCUGGCGGCGUGCCUAAUACAUGCAAGUCGAGCGAACGGACGAGAAGCUUGCUUUUCUGAUGUUAGCGGCGGACGGGUGAGUAACACGUGGAUAACCUACCUAUAAGACUGGGAUAACUUCGGGAAACCGUAGCUAAUACCGGAUAAUAUUUUGAACCGCAUGGUUCAAAAGUGAAAGGCGGUCUUGCUGUCACUUAUAGAUGGAUCCGCGCUGCAUUAGCUAGUUGGUAAGGUAACGGCUUACCAAGGCAACGAUGCAUAGCCGACCUGAGAGGGUGAUCGGCCACACUGGAACUGAGACACGGUCCAGACUCCUACGGGAGGCAGCAGUAGGGAAUCUUCCGCAAUGGGCGAAAGCCUGACGGAGCAACGCCGCGUGAGUGAUGAAGGUCUUCGGAUCGUAAAACUCUGUUAUUAGGGAAGAACAUAUGUGUAAGUAACUGUGCACAUCUUGACGGUACCUAAUCAGAAAGCCACGGCUAACUACGUG
RNAcentral lists this ribosomal RNA (497 nucleotides) under uncultured bacterium. RNAcentral describes it as "partial 16S ribosomal RNA". It matches the Rfam family "Bacterial small subunit ribosomal RNA", at positions 28 to 507 of the family's 1533-position model. The record is from RNAcentral.